UACGUAGGCAGCGAGCGUUGUUCGGAGUUACUGGGCGUAAAGGGUGUGUAGGCGGUUUUCUAAGUUUGGUGUGAAAUCUCCCGGCUUAACCGGGAGGGUGCGCCGAAAACUGGGAGACUAGAGUGCGGGAUGGGAGAGUAGAAUUCCUGGUGUAGCAGUGAAAUGCGUAGAUAUCAGGAGGAAUACCGAUGGCGAAGGCAGGUCUCUGGGCUGACACUGACGCUCAUGCACGAAAGCGUGGGGAGCAAACAGG
RNAcentral lists this ribosomal RNA (253 nucleotides) under uncultured bacterium. RNAcentral describes it as "partial 16S ribosomal RNA". It matches the Rfam family "Bacterial small subunit ribosomal RNA", at positions 524 to 776 of the family's 1533-position model. The record is from RNAcentral.